Molecule: ribosomal RNA, 200 nt
Filed under: uncultured bacterium
Lineage: Bacteria
Description: partial 16S ribosomal RNA
Rfam family: Bacterial small subunit ribosomal RNA
Source: RNAcentral
AGAGUUUGAUCCUGGCUCAGAACGAACGUAGCGGCGCGCUUAACACAUGCAAGUCGUGCGAGAAAGGGGCAACCCCGGUAAAGCGGCGCACGGGUGAGUAACACGUAGGUAAUUUGCCUCCAGGUGGUGGAUAACCUUCCGAAAGGAGGGCUAAUACAGCAUAAGACCACGGGUUCGCAAGGGCCUGAGGUCAAAGUCGG